Molecule: transfer RNA, 62 nt
Filed under: Chilocorus bipustulatus
Lineage: Eukaryota; Metazoa; Arthropoda; Insecta; Coleoptera; Coccinellidae
Description: tRNA-Arg
Source: RNAcentral
AAAUAAGAAGCAUAAAAUGUAUUUAGUUUCGACCUAAAAGAUGGCUAGAAAGCCCUUAUUUA